AACGCACAUUGCGCCCCCUGGUAUUCCGGGGGGCAUGCCUGUCCGAGCGUCAUUGCUGCCCUCAAGCACGGCUUGUGUGUUGGGCCCCCGUCCCCCUCCCAGGAAGGGGACGGGCCCGAAAGGCAGCGGCGGCACCGUGUCCGGUCCUCGAGCGUAUGGGAAGCAACUUUUUGUCACCCGCUCCUGUAGGUCCGGCCGGCGGCCUGCCCAACCCCAACCUUUUUUUAACCAGGUUGACCUCGGAUCAGGCAGGGAUACCCGCUGAACUUAA
This 271-nucleotide unclassified non-coding RNA is filed under the name uncultured Trichocomaceae. RNAcentral describes it as "partial contains 5.8S ribosomal RNA, internal transcribed spacer 2, and large subunit ribosomal RNA". The stretch from base 1 to 52 matches the Rfam family "5.8S ribosomal RNA", at positions 103 to 154 of the family's 154-position model. The record is from RNAcentral. Lineage: Eukaryota; Fungi; Ascomycota; Eurotiomycetes; Eurotiales; Trichocomaceae.